GUCUAAGGCCAUACUGCCUGAAUGCAACUGCUCUCCUCUGAUCUCAGAAGCUGAGCAGGGUCAGGGCUGGUCAGUACUUGCAUGGGAGAAGAACAGUUAGGUUAAAACU
This 109-nucleotide ribosomal RNA is filed under the name Castor canadensis (American beaver). The record is from RNAcentral. Lineage: Eukaryota; Metazoa; Chordata; Mammalia; Rodentia; Castoridae.